CGGGAUGUAAUUCAGUGGCCAGAAGCCAUACUUUGGGAGUAUGGAGCCGCAGGUACUCCUUUGGAGAACGCUAACGCGAACAAAUCCUGCCAUCCCGA
RNAcentral lists this transfer RNA (98 nucleotides) under Symploca sp. SIO2E6. Its description in RNAcentral is "tRNA-Pro". The record is from RNAcentral. Lineage: Bacteria; Bacillati; Cyanobacteriota; Cyanophyceae; Coleofasciculales; Coleofasciculaceae.